RNAcentral lists this ribosomal RNA (423 nucleotides) under uncultured Anaerolineaceae bacterium. Its description in RNAcentral is "bacterial SSU rRNA". It matches the Rfam family "Bacterial small subunit ribosomal RNA", at positions 945 to 1382 of the family's 1533-position model. The record is from RNAcentral. Lineage: Bacteria; Bacillati; Chloroflexota; Anaerolineae; Anaerolineales; Anaerolineaceae.
UUUAAUUCGUUGCUACACGAAGUAACCUUACCUGGGUUUGACAUAUAGGUUGUAGGGACUGAAAGGGACCGACCCUUCGGGGAGCCUAUACAGGUGUUGCAUGGCUGUCGUCAGCUCGUGUCGUGAGAUGUUCGGUUAAGUCCGCUAACGAGCGCAACCCUCGUCGUAUGUUAUAUGUGUCAUACGAGACUGCCGGUAAAAAGCCGGAGGAAGGUGAGGAUGAUGUCAAGUCAGCAUGACCUUUAUAUCCAGGGCUACACACACGCUACAAUGGUCUGUACAAUGGGUAGCCAAGCCGCGAGGCGGAGCCAAUCCUGAAAGCAGGCCUCAGUUCAGAUUGCAGUCUGCAACUCGACUGCAUGAAGCCGGAGUUGCUAGUAACCGCAGGUCAGCAAUACUGCGGUGAAUACGUUCCCGGGUCUU